Molecule: transfer RNA, 94 nt
Filed under: Xylaria sp. FL1777
Lineage: Eukaryota; Fungi; Ascomycota; Sordariomycetes; Xylariales; Xylariaceae
Description: tRNA-Ala
Rfam family: tRNA
About the family: Transfer RNA (tRNA) molecules are approximately 80 nucleotides in length. Their secondary structure includes four short double-helical elements and three loops (D, anti-codon, and T loops).
Source: RNAcentral
GGGCGCAUGGUCUAGAGGUAUGAUAUUCGCUUUGCAUCUGAAUAUUCAGAUUAAUGCCUGCGAAGGGUCCGGGGUUCAAUUCCCCGUACGUCCA